This 328-nucleotide ribosomal RNA is filed under the name uncultured eukaryote. Its description in RNAcentral is "partial 18S ribosomal RNA". It matches the Rfam family "Eukaryotic small subunit ribosomal RNA", at positions 1470 to 1796 of the family's 1831-position model. The record is from RNAcentral.
CCCUUAGAUGUUCUGGGCCGCACGCGCGCUACACUGAUGCAUUCAACGAGUUUCUUCCUGGUCCGAGAGGAAUGGGUAACCUUUUGAAAGUGCAUCGUGAUAGGGAUAGACUAUUGCAAUUAUUGGCCUUCAACGAGGAAUUCCUAGUAGACGUAGUUCAUCAGACUGCAUCGAUUACGUCCCUGCCCUUUGUACACACCGCCCGUCGCUCCUACCGAUUGAAUGAUCCGAUGAAUAUCAUGGAUUGAGGAUGCAAGUAGGUUCGCCUAUCUUCAUCUUCGAGAAGUGAAGUAAAUCUUAUCAUUUAGAGGAAGGAGAAGUCGUAACA